This 72-nucleotide transfer RNA is filed under the name Stegodyphus mimosarum. It matches the Rfam family "tRNA". Rfam says of the family: Transfer RNA (tRNA) molecules are approximately 80 nucleotides in length. Lineage: Eukaryota; Metazoa; Arthropoda; Arachnida; Araneae; Eresidae. The record is from Rfam by way of RNAcentral.
GCCUUCGUGGUGUAAUGGUUAGCACACUCAGCGAAUAUUCAAAUGGUCCAGGUUCGAGUUCCGGCGAGGGCU